GCCGCCGUCGCCGUCAAGAAAACUCAAGGGCGGAGGAAAAUAGCAAUUAAACCAAUAGCAAAUCAAAACAGUAGGCACGUUACCUUUAGCAAACGCCGUUUAGGUCUCUUCAAAAAAGCUUAGCGAACUUUGCAUUUUAACCGGCGCUGAAAUCGCUAUUAUGGUUCAGUCGCUAAAACGACAGCGUUUGUUCACUUUUGG
RNAcentral lists this unclassified non-coding RNA (201 nucleotides) under Hevea brasiliensis (rubber tree). Lineage: Eukaryota; Viridiplantae; Streptophyta; Magnoliopsida; Malpighiales; Euphorbiaceae. The record is from RNAcentral.